AAAAAAAAACACCAAAGUCAAUAAAACAUGAGAAAAUUAUUGAAUUGAAAAAAAAAAAAAAAAACAAAGGCUCUUUGAGCGGGAGACACUCGUUCGGUCGUUCCAUCUAAAAUUUUCCCCCCGUCCCUCCGUUCCGCUUCAGCGAAAGGGACUUCGUCCUUGGCAUUCUACGGUUACGGUGGUUGCUUAAAAGUGUAGCGAUGGCAGCCUCUUCACCUACUUGAGAAUCCGAAUAUGCCGCUUUUCCACAAUCAUCAACGGCAUAUCAAGUGAAGUACUCCAAGGUGCAAGGAAGAACAUGCUUAAGAUGACCAAAUUAGCACAUCCUGCAAUUGGAGACAGUGAGCUAUUGCAUUUCAGACUACAACAAGACUCAAAUGUAAGAGAUGAAUGUUUUACCACUGCUCCAGAUACCAAAAUAUAGAAAUAUGAUGGCAUCUCAUUUUGCAAGAUAAUGUCAACCUUAGGCGGCUAGAAGGGAAGAAAAUCUUUUACCAGUUGGGUGAUAAAAUGAUCAGAGACUCCUUUAAAUAAAUAUGCAUUUCCAACUAUGUCACGGAAAAGAUGCUGAGCGAUGCUCGAUCUAAUUGCCUUUGGCAAGUCCUGUAGCACUUGUUCUUGCUGUAGCGCUGCUGUUCUAAACUUCAACUGAACGUGUGCCAGCACUUGCUCUUUUAAGCCUUCUGGGAGUCUAUUUUUGCUUGCAUA
Prosopis cineraria is the source of this 708-nucleotide long non-coding RNA. RefSeq lists it as uncharacterized. The record is from RefSeq and is a predicted model, not a curated record. Lineage: Eukaryota; Viridiplantae; Streptophyta; Magnoliopsida; Fabales; Fabaceae. The transcript has 4 exons.